GACGUAGGGGGCCAGCGUUGUUCGGAAUUACUGGGUGUAAAGGGUUCGUAGGCGGUGUGGCAAGUCGGGAGUGAAAUCUCUGGGCUCAACCCAGAGUCUGCUUCCGAAACUGCUGCGCUUGAGUGUGGGAGAGGCGCGUGGAAUUGCAGGUGUAGCGGUGAAAUGCGUAGAUAUCUGCAGGAACACCCGUGGCGAAAGCGGCGCGCUGGACCACUACUGACGCUGAGGAACGAAAGCUAGGGGAGCAAACAGG
Molecule: ribosomal RNA, 253 nt
Filed under: uncultured bacterium
Lineage: Bacteria
Description: partial 16S ribosomal RNA
Rfam family: Bacterial small subunit ribosomal RNA
Source: RNAcentral